RNAcentral lists this ribosomal RNA (465 nucleotides) under Vreelandella stevensii. Its description in RNAcentral is "partial 16S ribosomal RNA". It matches the Rfam family "Bacterial small subunit ribosomal RNA", at positions 338 to 795 of the family's 1533-position model. The record is from RNAcentral. Lineage: Bacteria; Pseudomonadati; Pseudomonadota; Gammaproteobacteria; Oceanospirillales; Halomonadaceae.
CCUACGGGAGGCAGCAGUGGGGAAUAUUGGACAAUGGGGGCAACCCUGAUCCAGCCAUGCCGCAUGUGUGAAGAAGGCCCUCGGGUUGUAAAGCACUUUCAGUGAGGAAGAACGCCUGGUGGUUAAUACCCAUCAGGAAAGACAUCACUCACAGAAGAAGCACCGGCUAACUCCGUGCCAGCAGCCGCGGUAAUACGGAGGGUGCGAGCGUUAAUCGGAAUUACUGGGCGUAAAGCGCGCGUAGGUGGCUUGAUAAGCCGGUUGUGAAAGCCCCGGGCUCAACCUGGGAACGGCAUCCGGAACUGUCAAGCUAGAGUGCAGGAGAGGAAGGUAGAAUUCCCGGUGUAGCGGUGAAAUGCGUAGAGAUCGGGAGGAAUACCAGUGGCGAAGGCGGCCUUCUGGACUGACACUGACACUGAGGUGCGAAAGCGUGGGUAGCAAACAGGAUUAGAUACCCUUGUAGUC